AGCCGGGGAGUUAGCGGUGCCCUGUACCUGCAAUCCGCUAUAGCAGGGGUGAUAUUCUGCCGAGGAUUCUCAUUGUGGGGCUGCCCUUUGCAUGCGACGUUGAUGUUCUGGUCCUGCGCAACGGGAAUUUGUGAACCGUGUCAGGUCAGGAAUGAAGCAGCACUAAGCAAAAUCUCCCGUGUGCCGCAGGAGCGCCGGAGCUGAGUUUACUGCAAAGGUACCGCCCAUGGUGACAGUUCGACGCAGAAUGCGC
RNAcentral lists this signal recognition particle RNA (253 nucleotides) under bovine gut metagenome. RNAcentral describes it as "Bacterial large signal recognition particle RNA". It matches the Rfam family "Bacterial large signal recognition particle RNA". Rfam says of the family: The signal recognition particle (SRP) is a universally conserved ribonucleoprotein involved in the co-translational targeting of proteins to membranes. Archaeal SRP consists of a 7S RNA and homologues of the eukaryotic SRP19 and SRP54 proteins. In most bacteria, the SRP consists of a 4.5S RNA and the Ffh protein (a homologue of the eukaryotic SRP54 protein). The record is from RNAcentral.